RNAcentral lists this ribosomal RNA (315 nucleotides) under Nosema granulosis. Its description in RNAcentral is "SSU rRNA". It matches the Rfam family "Microsporidia small subunit ribosomal RNA", at positions 88 to 396 of the family's 1311-position model. The record is from RNAcentral. Lineage: Eukaryota; Fungi; Microsporidia; Nosematidae.
UCAGUAACUCUUAUUUUAUUUGAUGUAUUAGGACUAUAACUAUGUUAAAUUAUAGAUAACAAUAAUACAAUAAGAAUAAGAUCUAUCAGUUAGUUGUUAAGGUAAUGGCUUAACAAGACUAUGACGGAUAACGGUAUUACUUUGUAAUAUUCCGGAGAAGGAGCCUGAGAGAUUGCUACUAAGUCUAAGGAUUGCAGCAGGGGCGAAACUUGACCUAUGAUAUGAUAUUGAGGCAGUUAUGAGUAGUAUUUUAUAAUUAUUGUAGUAUUGUAAGUAUAUGCUACAAGAUAAAUCGGAGGGCAAAUCGAGUGCCAG